RNAcentral lists this ribosomal RNA (303 nucleotides) under uncultured bacterium. RNAcentral describes it as "partial 16S ribosomal RNA". It matches the Rfam family "Bacterial small subunit ribosomal RNA", at positions 507 to 807 of the family's 1533-position model. The record is from RNAcentral.
AGCAGUAGCCACGGUAAAACGUAGGGCGCAAGCGUUGUCCGGAAUUAUUGGGCGUAAAGAGCUCGUAGGCGGUCUGUCGCGUCUGGUGUGAAAUCCCGAGGCUCAACCUCGGGCUUGCAUCGGGUACGGGCAGACUAGAGUGCGGUAGGGGAGACUGGAAUUCCUGGUGUAGCGGUGGAAUGCGCAGAUAUCAGGAGGAACACCGAUGGCGAAGGCAGGUCUCUGGGCCGCAACUGACGCUGAGGAGCGAAAGCAUGGGGAGCGAACAGGAUUAGAUACCCGCGUAGUCCCUGUCUCUUAUAC